AUAUGAAGUCUAGCCUGCCCGUUGACAUAAAGUUGAAAGGCCGCGGUAUAAUGACCGUGCGAAGGUAGCAUAAUGAUUUGUUCUUUAAUUGGGGACUAGUAUGAAGGGUUGAGCGAAAAGUAAGCUGUCUCUUUUUCAAAUCUUGAAUUUAACAUUUAAGUGAAAAGGCUUAAAUUAAUUAAGGGGACGAUAAGACCCUAUAAAUCUUGAAUUUUUUGUCACAGUUAGUUUAAAAUUUGUAAUAAUAACUUAAGCUAACCGUGAAAAGAAUUUUGUUGGGGCGACAGGAGUAUAAAAAGUAACUGCUUUAAAUUUUUAUUUGAUUGUAUUCAGAUUGGUAGAUAUAGUGACCCCGUUUAAGGGUAUUAGAAUAAGUUACUUUAGGGAUAACAGCGUAAUCUUUUCUGAGAGUCCAUAUCGAAGAAAAGGCUUGCGACCUCGAUGUUGAAUUAAAGAUCCUUCACGGUGCAGGAGUUGUGGUAGGAGGUCUGUUCGACCUUUAAAUCUUUACAUGAUUUGAGUUCAGACCGGCGUGAGCCAGGUCGGUUUCUAUCUCUUAUAUAUGCGAAACUAUCUUAGUACGAAAGGAUUAGGUAGUUGGGAGAGUCCCAAUGAUUUUUAUGGAUAUUACUUUGGCAGAAUAUAUGCGUUAGAUUUAGGAUCUAAUUAAAUAGGGCUCAGGAUCUAUAGGUAAUAACCCUUGCUUUAAAAGUUAAGUCUUCUUUUGCUAGAGGGAGGUGGUAAGUGGGUCGUGAUGUUCAUUGUAAUAGUCGUUAAUUAUUUAGUUCUUGUUGUUUGUGUCCUGGUCGGAGUAGCUUUUGUAACAUUGUUAGAACG
RNAcentral lists this ribosomal RNA (837 nucleotides) under Palinurellus wieneckii. RNAcentral's name for it is "partial 16S ribosomal RNA". The stretch from base 1 to 583 matches the Rfam family "Bacterial large subunit ribosomal RNA", at positions 1845 to 2925 of the family's 2925-position model. Lineage: Eukaryota; Metazoa; Arthropoda; Malacostraca; Decapoda; Synaxidae. The record is from RNAcentral.